UACGAGGGGAGCAAGCGUUGUUCGGAUUUACUGGGCGUAAAGGACGCGCAGGCGGCUGCUCAAGUCAGGCGUGAAAGGCCUGGGCUCAACCCGGGAAUUGCGCUUGAGACUGGGCUGGCUUGAGUGCGGGAGAGGAUGGUGGAAUUCCCAGUGUAGAGGUGAAAUUCGUAGAUAUUGGGAAGAACACCGGUGGCGAAGGCGGCCAUCUGGACCGCAACUGACGCUGAGGCGCGAAAGCGUGGGGAGCAAACAGG
RNAcentral lists this ribosomal RNA (254 nucleotides) under uncultured bacterium. RNAcentral describes it as "partial 16S ribosomal RNA". It matches the Rfam family "Bacterial small subunit ribosomal RNA", at positions 524 to 776 of the family's 1533-position model. The record is from RNAcentral.